AUGGUAGACAGAACCUACUACUACCAUGAUGAAGCACAAUUAACUUAUAAGGAGCAAGAUGGUCUUAUCGCAUUUUUUACUGAUAUUGAGAAUUACAAUAGCUAUUAUCAAACUCCUCCACAUUAUGGUCAAUAUGUGCCACUAGUGAACGUGUUGAACUACGGUAACAUCAAUGGAGAUAUCAUGAAAAUCCCGAUGGAUUGUGUGCCGCAUCUGAUGUUGACGAGAGGUCGCGUUAAUGUUAUGAGCUUACGGCCACCACAGCCAGUUCAGCCGCAGUAUCCACAUUACUCCUGUCCAUACCGGAUUUCUAAAAACGAGGAAGCCAUGAUAAUAGAUGAUUUCAAAAAAUGUUUGAACCAUCGUAGAGAGCUACUUGGAAGCAACAUUGUGCGUAGGCCAAGACUUGGAGACAGGAUGAUCUCCGUUCUUUAUUAUGGAGAGUCAAUUUUCCUUAAUGCAGCAUCAAUGCCUAUCUUGUUUUAUGAUAUUUUACCUAAGAGAGGGUAG
This 510-nucleotide ribosomal RNA is filed under the name Triticum aestivum (bread wheat). Its description in RNAcentral is "partial small subunit ribosomal RNA". The record is from RNAcentral. Lineage: Eukaryota; Viridiplantae; Streptophyta; Magnoliopsida; Poales; Poaceae.